AUGCUGAACUUAUCUCUCGUCCAUUUUCACUUAUUUUUUGCGUCGCACUUGACAUUAAUGUUAGAAAAUACGUUGAGCAUUUUUCACAUUAAUGUUGAAGAAUCCUCAGUAGGCCGCACGGAGCAUCCGCAGAGGAUGAGGGGGGAGCCGGCCACGUCGAAAACAACAACUAGGCGCAAGCGAGUUCCAUUUAUUCUUCACCAAAAGCAAAGGGAAAAACCGCAGCUUUCGCCAUGGCUUUUUUGCGGUUUUGCUCCUCCUGCCCCACUACCACCACCCUCGCCCCCAUAUUCUAGCCCCCCGUUGAUCCCCUGCUUCUCGUCUCCUUCUACAGUUCCGCCCUCCCCUCCCUCGCCCCCGUGCUCCGCCUUCUCUGCUUGCUUGCCUGGCCCUGCCGCCUCAGGCGGCUCACGCCAAUGCUGUGCCGCCUCCCGUCGAACCUGCCCCCCGCGCUGCUCCUUUGACCUCCCGUAA
This 474-nucleotide ribosomal RNA is filed under the name Triticum aestivum (bread wheat). RNAcentral's name for it is "partial small subunit ribosomal RNA". The record is from RNAcentral. Lineage: Eukaryota; Viridiplantae; Streptophyta; Magnoliopsida; Poales; Poaceae.